CUCGUAGGCGGCCAACUAAGUCCGACGUGAAAUCCCAAAGCUUAACUUUGGAACUGCGUCGGAUACUGGAUGGCUUGAAUUCGGGAGAGGGAUGCAGAAUUCCAGGUGUAGCGGCGAAAUGCGUAGAUAUCUGGAGGAAUACCGGUGGCGAAGGCGGCAUCCUGGACCGACAUUGACGCUGAGGAGAAGACAGGAGGGCAAACG
RNAcentral lists this ribosomal RNA (204 nucleotides) under uncultured bacterium. Its description in RNAcentral is "partial 16S ribosomal RNA". It matches the Rfam family "Bacterial small subunit ribosomal RNA", at positions 568 to 753 of the family's 1533-position model. The record is from RNAcentral.